AUGUCGAGAGCUCCUCCUUCCCCACACCCACAGCCGCCGCAGAUGGAGGUCGAUCCCUCGGGCUGUAGCAGCGACGAGGAGUCUGAUCGGAUCAGACAACUCAUUCCGUUUGAGUCGCCGCCACGAGAGCUUUAUUGGCAGAUGCAAUUCCUUGGGUACAUGCCUCCGAGCCCGCGGAUGAUGCCGCGUUCUCCUCCAUCACAACCUGAGCCAGGCCCGAUGGAUAUCGACCCCCCCGCCGGCGGUGGCGACGUGCCAUGGAGUGAAAUGCAACUUUCACUCCCGUCACCGCCACCUAUGUCUGGUCCCUGUCGCCCGUGGUCUUCGCUAGAGUUUUCUGAGUACCGCAAUCCUUGUAGCCCACAGACGCAGUGGCCGGUCUGGUCAGUGACUCUCUGGAAUUUUGACGAGACAACAUCUCCUCAACAGAUGGACCCCUGCUCCACACAGAUCGAUCAUGCCGCUGCGGCACCAGUGAGGAGGUCCAUCAGAGUGUCAGUGGUAUGGCAGCACUUCAGAAAGGACAACGAUGGAGGGGCGGCAUAUUGCAACUAUUGCAGCCAAGGCUUAUUUGCUCAUCGAAAGAUACAUGAUGGCACUUCUCAUCUAUGGAGACAUCUUUGGACCCACCAUUGUUUGGAGGAGAAACUGGACAUCGGAGUAGAAGGCAUAUAUUCUGCUGCAUCGAAGAUAGUCGGUAAUAUUCUUGGGACUGAGAAUGAAGAGGCAAAGGAAACAGAUGCCCAACAGUCAGGAAGUAGGCAUCUUGAAUCGCCUUUGGAGCUUGACAGAAGAACAAUGCCUCCUAAAAGGACGCGAAAACCUGCAGCAAGUAUAGAUGGUGUUGAACACAAAUUUUCUGGAGAGACAACCGAAAUGCUGGAUACCUGGCCUACAAUGCUGAAUAUGCCCAUGGACUGGAAUGGCCAGACCACUGGAAGAAGGCAUCCCAUGGUACAACUGGAAAAUAAAAAGGCCGCGGCAAGCAUAGAUGUUGUUCAACACGGUUUUUCUCAAGUGCCGGCCAUUGCAGAAACAUCAAGAGGGAAAUCACAAGUAUGCAUAGAUGCUCUUCCACACGGUUUCUCUCAAGAGCCGACCAACGCAGCAAGGUCAAAAAGAGAAUCAAAAGUAUGGCAGCACUUCAGAGUGGAUAAGGACAGAGUGCGGGCGUAUUGCAUCCACUGCACCCAAGAUUUGGCAGCUGACUCCAGAAAUGGCACUUCUCACCUGGCGAGACAUCUUACUGCUGUCCAUGGUUUUAAGAAACAGGCCGAUGGACACUUCUGCAAAGAUGUUGCUGCAUCAACGGUAGUCCGAACUAAUACUCUUGUGACUGGGAAUGAAGAGCCGAAGGAAACAGAUGCCCAAAACUCAGCAACUAAGAGGCAUCUUGAAUCGUCUUUGGCGCUUGCUCCUAAAAGGAUGCGAAAACCUGCAGCAAGUAUAGAUGAUGCUGAAGCUCAACACUGUUUUUCUGGGGACGGGACUAGUAUAGCAAAAUCAAGAGGAAGAUCAGAAGUAUGGCAGCACUUCAGAGAGGAUAAGGAUGGAGGACGGGCUUAUUGCAACCAUUGCAGCAACAACUAUGCAGCUGCCACGGAAAUAGGCACUUCUCGCCUGUGGAGGCAUCUCGAGAAAGACCACAACAUAUUCCCAAAAAGCAGAGCCUCGUCCUCUAAAGACGGGAACUAA
RNAcentral lists this ribosomal RNA (1695 nucleotides) under Triticum aestivum (bread wheat). RNAcentral describes it as "partial small subunit ribosomal RNA". The record is from RNAcentral. Lineage: Eukaryota; Viridiplantae; Streptophyta; Magnoliopsida; Poales; Poaceae.